ACCUAUUUAUUAUUAAAUUGGAGUUAGAGCCCUUACGGUACUGGUACUGUAAUGGGUU
Molecule: transfer RNA, 58 nt
Filed under: Brachionus calyciflorus
Lineage: Eukaryota; Metazoa; Rotifera; Eurotatoria; Ploima; Brachionidae
Description: tRNA-Ser
Source: RNAcentral